AUGAACGCUAGCGGCAGGCCUAACACAUGCAAGUCGCGGGAGAAGCCCUUUCGGGGGCAGAAACCGGCGCACGGGUGCGUAACGCGUAUGCAACCUACCUUUCACAGGGGGAUAGCCCGAAGAAAUUUGGAUUAAUACCCCAUAAUAUUGUUGGAUGGCAUCAUUUGGCAAUUAAAACUGCGGUGGUGAAAGAUGGGCAUGCGUCCUAUUAGCUAGUUGGAGUGGUAACGGCACCCCAAGGCUACGAUAGGUAGGGGUCCUGAGAGGGAGAUCCCCCACACUGGUACUGAGACAGGGACCAGACUCCUACGGGAGGCAGCAGUGAGGAAUAUUGGUCAAUGGUCGGAAGACUGAACCAGCCAUGCCGCGUGCAGGAAGAAUGCCUUAUGGGCUGUAAACUGCUUUUAUAUGGGAAGAAUAAGGCGUACGUGUACGUUGAUGACGGUACCAUAUGAAUAAGCAUCGGCUAACUCCGUG
RNAcentral lists this ribosomal RNA (477 nucleotides) under uncultured bacterium. RNAcentral describes it as "partial 16S ribosomal RNA". It matches the Rfam family "Bacterial small subunit ribosomal RNA", at positions 29 to 507 of the family's 1533-position model. The record is from RNAcentral.